AGUGAACGCUGGCGGUAGGCCUAACACAUGCAAGUCGAACGGCAGCACAGUAAGAGCUUGCUCUUACGGGUGGCGAGUGGCGGACGGGUGAGGAAUACAUCGGAAUCUACUUUUUCGUGGGGGAUAACGUAGGGAAACUUACGCUAAUACCGCAUACGACCUACGGGUGAAAGCAGGGGAUCUUCGGACCUUGCGCGAUUGAAUGAGCCGAUGUCGGAUUAGCUAGUUGGCGGGGUAAAGGCCCACCAAGGCGCCGAUCCGUAGCUGGUCUGAGAGGAUGGUCAGCCACACUGGAGCUGAGACACGGUCCAGACUCCUACGGGAGGCAGCAGUGGGGAAUAUUGGACAAUGGGCACAAGCCUGAUCCAGCCAUACCGCGUGGGUGAAGAAGGCCUUCGGGUUGUAAAGCCCUUUUGUUGGGAAAGAAAAGCAGCAGGUUAAUACCCCGCUGUUCUGACGGUACCCAAAGAAUAAGCACCGGCUAACUUCGUG
Molecule: ribosomal RNA, 492 nt
Filed under: uncultured bacterium
Lineage: Bacteria
Description: partial 16S ribosomal RNA
Rfam family: Bacterial small subunit ribosomal RNA
Source: RNAcentral